CUCCCUGAUGUUAGCGGCGGACGGGUGAGUAACACGUGGGUAACCUGCCUGUAAGACUGGGAUAACUCCGGGAAACCGGGGCUAAUACCGGAUGGUUGUUUGAACCGCAGGGUUCAAACAUAAAAGGUGGCUUCGGCUACCACUUACAGAUGGACCCGCGGCGCAUUAGCUAGUUGGUGAGGUAACGGCUCACCAAGGCAACGAUGCGUAGCCGACCUGAGAGGGUGAUCGGCCACACUGGGACUGAGACACGGCCCAGACUCCUACGGGAGGCAGCAGUAGGGAAUCUUCCGCAAUGGACGAAAGUCUGACGGAGCAACGCCGCGUGAGUGAUGAAGGUUUUCGGAUCGUAAAGCUCUGUUGUUAGGGAAGAACAAGUACCGUUCGAAUAGGGCGGUACCUUGACGGUACCUAACCAGAAAGCCACGGCUAACUACGUGCCAGCAGCCGCGGUAAUACGUAGGUGGCAAGCGUUGUCCGGAAUUAUUGGGCGUAAAGGGCUCGCAGGCGGUUUCUUAAGUCUGAUGUGAAAGCCCCCGGCUCAACCGGGGAGGGUCAUUGGAAACUGGGGAACUUGAGUGCAGAAGAGGAGAGUGGAAUUCCACGUGUAGCGUUGAAAUGCGUAGAGAUGUGGAGGAACACCAGUGGCGAAGGCGACUCUCUGGUCUGUAACUGACGCUAAGGAGCGAAAGCGUGGGAGCGAACAGGAUUAGAUACCCUGGUAGUCCACGCCGUAACGAUGAGUGCUAAGUGUUAGGGGGUUUCCGCCCCUUAGUGCUGCAGCUAACGCAUUAAGCACUCCGCCUGGGGAGUACGGUCGCAAGACUGAAACUCAAAGGAAUUGACGGGGGCCCGCACAACCGGUGGAGCAUGUGGUUUAAUUCGAAGCAACGCGAAGAACCUUACCAGGUCUUGACAUCCUCUGACAAUCCUAGAGAUAGGACGUCCCCUUCCGGGGCAGAGUGACAGGUGGUGCAGGGUUGUCCGUCAGCUCAAGGCAGGAAAUGUUGGGUUAAGUCCCGCAACCAACCGCAACCCUUGGAUCUUAGUUUGCCAGCAUUCAGUUGGGGCACUCUUAAGGUGACUGCCGGGGACGAACCCGUAGAAGUGUUGGGAUGACUUCGAAUCAUCCGAGCCCCUUAAGAACCUU
RNAcentral lists this ribosomal RNA (1150 nucleotides) under Streptomyces sp. RNAcentral describes it as "bacterial SSU rRNA". It matches the Rfam family "Bacterial small subunit ribosomal RNA", at positions 82 to 1211 of the family's 1533-position model. The record is from RNAcentral. Lineage: Bacteria; Bacillati; Actinomycetota; Actinomycetes; Kitasatosporales; Streptomycetaceae.